This 101-nucleotide non-coding RNA is filed under the name Cycloclasticus sp. symbiont of Poecilosclerida sp. N. Its description in RNAcentral is "Glycine riboswitch aptamer". It matches the Rfam family "Glycine riboswitch aptamer". From Rfam's summary of the family: This family represents the bacterial glycine riboswitch. Glycine riboswitches usually consist of two metabolite-binding aptamers domains with similar structures in tandem. The record is from Rfam by way of RNAcentral. Lineage: Bacteria; Pseudomonadati; Pseudomonadota; Gammaproteobacteria; Thiotrichales; Piscirickettsiaceae. RNAcentral also lists the same sequence under 1 other name.
CCAAUUAGCUCUGGAGAGAGGCGCUAUAUAGCGACCACCUAAGAGGAAAGAGGGCUGUAUAAGCGCCGUUAAACUUUCAGGUUUUGGACAGAGGGGCGGCA